This 395-nucleotide ribosomal RNA is filed under the name uncultured bacterium. RNAcentral describes it as "partial 16S ribosomal RNA". It matches the Rfam family "Bacterial small subunit ribosomal RNA", at positions 338 to 730 of the family's 1533-position model. The record is from RNAcentral.
CCUACGGGUGGCAGCAGUGAGGAAUAUUGGUCAAUGGGCGCAAGCCUGAACCAGCCAAGCCGCGUGAAGGAAGACGGCCCUAUGGGUUGUAAACUUCUUUUGUCCGGGAGCAAACGCAGCCACGCGUGUCGUUCUGAAAGUAUCCUAAGAAUAAGGAUCGGCUUACUCCGUGCCAGCAGCCGGGGUAAUACGGAGGAUUGAAGCGUUAUCCGGGUUUAUUGGGUUUAAAGGGUGGGUAGGCGGGAGGAUAAGUUAGAGGGUAAAUCGCGAGGCUCAAACUCGGAAUUGCCGUUGAUACUGGUCUGCUUGAGAGUGCGUGAGGUAGGCGGAAUGCAUGGUGUAGCGGUGAAAUGCUUAGAUAUCACACAGAACUCCGAUUGCGAAGGCAGCAUACC